GAUGAACGCUGGCGGCGUGCUUAAUACAUGCAAGUCGAACGGUGAAGCAGAGCUUGCUCUGUGGAUCAGUGGCGAACGGGCGAGUAACACGUGAGCAACCUGCCCCUGACUCUGGGAUAAGCGCUGGAAACGGCGUCUAAUACUGGGCAUGAGCUGCGACCGCAUGGUCAGCAGUUGGAAAGAUUUUUCGGUUUGGGAUGGGCUGACAGCCUAUCAGCUUGUUGGUGAGGUAAUGGCUCACCAAGGCGUCGACGGGUAGCCGGCCUGAGAGGGUGACCGGGCACACUGGGACUGAGACACGGCCCAGACUCCUACGGGAGGCAGCAGUGGAGAGUAUUGCAGAGUGAGCGAGAGCCAGAUACAGCGGCGCCGCGUGAGGGAUGACGGGCUUCGGGUUAUAAACAUCUUUGAACAGGAAAAAACCGAAAGUGACGGUACCUGCAGAGAAAGCGCCGGCUAACUACGUG
Molecule: ribosomal RNA, 467 nt
Filed under: uncultured bacterium
Lineage: Bacteria
Description: partial 16S ribosomal RNA
Rfam family: Bacterial small subunit ribosomal RNA
Source: RNAcentral